GGAGUAUGAAGCCGCUUCCGGUC
This 23-nucleotide non-coding RNA is filed under the name Arabidopsis thaliana (thale cress). The record is from RNAcentral. Lineage: Eukaryota; Viridiplantae; Streptophyta; Magnoliopsida; Brassicales; Brassicaceae.